GAUGAACGCUGGCGGCGUGCCUAAUACAUGCAAGUCGAGCGAACAGACGAGGAGCUUGCUCCUCUGACGUUAGCGGCGGACGGGUGAGUAACACGUGGAUAACCUACCUAUAAGACUGGGAUAACUUCGGGAAACCGGAGCUAAUACCGGAUAAUAUAUUGAACCGCAUGGUUCAAUAGUGAAAGACGGUUUUGCUGUCACUUAUAGAUGGAUCCGCGCCGCAUUAGCUAGUUGGUAAGGUAACGGCUUACCAAGGCAACGAUGCGUAGCCGACCUGAGAGGGUGAUCGGCCACACUGGAACUGAGACACGGUCCAGACCCCUACGGGAGGCAGCAGUAGGGAAUCUUCCGCAAGGGGCGAAAGCCUGACGGAGAAACGCCGCGUGAGUGAUGAAGGUCUUCGGAUCGUAAACUCUGUUAUUAGGGAAGAACAAAUGUGUAAGUAACUAUGCACGUCUUGACGGUACCUAAUCAGAAAGCCACGGCUAACUACGUG
Molecule: ribosomal RNA, 496 nt
Filed under: uncultured bacterium
Lineage: Bacteria
Description: partial 16S ribosomal RNA
Rfam family: Bacterial small subunit ribosomal RNA
Source: RNAcentral